RNAcentral lists this ribosomal RNA (799 nucleotides) under Arthrobacter sp. MJ114. RNAcentral describes it as "bacterial SSU rRNA". It matches the Rfam family "Bacterial small subunit ribosomal RNA", at positions 56 to 866 of the family's 1533-position model. The record is from RNAcentral. Lineage: Bacteria; Bacillati; Actinomycetota; Actinomycetes; Micrococcales; Micrococcaceae.
UGCAAGUCGAACGAUGAAGCCCAGCUUGCUGGGUGGAUUAGUGGCGAACGGGUGAGUAACACGCGAGUAACCUGCCCCCGACUCUGGGAUAAGCCCGGGAAACUGGGUCUAAUACCGGAUAUUACCUCUUGCCGCAUGGCAGGUGGUGGAAAGAUUUAUCGGUGGGGGAUGGACUCGCGGCCUAUCAGCUUGUUGGUGAGGUAAUGGCUCACCAAGGCGACGACGGGUAGCCGGCCUGAGAGGGUGACCGGCCACACUGGGACUGAGACACGGCCCAGACUCCUACGGGAGGCAGCAGUGGGGAAUAUUGCACAAUGGGCGAAAGCCUGAUGCAGCGACGCCGCGUGAGGGAUGACGGCCUUCGGGUUGUAAACCUCUUUCAGUAGGGAAGAAGCGAAAGUGACGGUACCUGCAGAAGAAGCGCCGGCUAACUACGUGCCAGCAGCCGCGGUAAUACGUAGGGCGCAAGCGUUAUCCGGAUUUAUUGGGCGUAAAGAGCUCGUAGGCGGUUUGUCGCGUCUGCCGUGAAAGUCCGAGGCUCAACCUCGGAUCUGCGGUGGGUACGGGCAGACUAGAGUGAUGUAGGGGAGACUGGAAUUCCUGGUGUAGCGGUGAAAUGCGCAGAUAUCAGGAGGAACACCGAUGGCGAAGGCAGGUCUCUGGGCAUUUACUGACGCUGAGGAGCGAAAGCAUGGGGAGCGAACAGGAUUAGAUACCCUGGUAGUCCAUGCCGUAAACGUUGGGCACUAGGUGUGGGGGACAUUCCACGUUUUCCGCGCCGUAGCUAACGCAUUAAGUG